Molecule: long non-coding RNA, 12057 nt
Organism: Amphiprion ocellaris (clown anemonefish)
Lineage: Eukaryota; Metazoa; Chordata; Actinopteri; Pomacentridae
Exons: 2
Source: RefSeq, a predicted model, not a curated record
UAUGCUGCAGCAUCCGGGCGCAGACACUUUGGGAAGCUAGAUGGUCUUUUUUACCUCCAAAACAUGGCAGAAAAGUGAAAGAGAAAACACUAUUUUCACGAUGACUGGGAGGAAGAGUUCUUUUUCACGACAGUGAAAGAUAAAUGUAUGUGUCCUAUUUGCGGGGCGACUAUUGCGUCGGCAAAGCGGCACAAUGUGGAGAGAUGCUACUUAGCCGCUACAUAGCUUCCAUGCUAACUAGCCACCUGCUAGCGCACAUAGACUGUAUGCGCACUGCGGACAGGAAAAGCCCGGGACUUAAAGGCAGCUUUGACAUCUAUUACGUGGCAAAAAGUUUCUUCGUGGAGAAAAAUGUACCAUUAGAAAAGCUUGUUUCACUGACGACGGAUGGGGCUCCUCCAUGACGGGUCGCCAUGCAGGCUUCAUUGUACGAUGCAGAGGUGAUCCAGACUUCCCAACAUUCCUACAUUACCACUGCAUCAUUCACCAGCAGGACAUAUGUAUGUACAAAAGUGGCCGGAUUUGAUCAUGUGAUUACUCGUGUCGUGAAGAUCAUAAAUGGCUCCAAAGCCAAACAACCAGGACAUUGAAGGUGCUGCUGGAGGAGCUGUCAGCUGAACAUGGAGACCUGUUACUACACACAGAAACCCCAUGGAUCAGCAGGGGAACAGUUUUACAGCGUUUUUUGUCACUGUUGGCCGAAAUCAAACAGUUGAUGCAAUCCAAAGGGGAAGACAGCUCGCUGCUUGAGGACACUGAGUGUAUUCUUGCCCUUGCAUUUUUAACGGAAAUCACUGGGAAACUGAACCAUCUGAACUGUGAGCUACAAGGUAAAGGUUUUACUAAAGAAGAGCCAGGACACCUACUUGGGCUUCGGCUUUGACUCGUCUGGAACAAGGGCAAAAAUAACACUUUAAAAUCACUUCUCAAUUUAAAAGUGAAGGAAGCCUUUAUUCAAGAGGUGAGUAGUAAGCUGCAAAGCAUUUAGGGGUAUUUUUCUCACCUGUUACCUCCUCUUGUGCUGAUGACCAGGAACAUGCAUGAUUAGUACAAUGUUUGGAAAUUAAAUUAGGCAUAUAAAAAUCUGGGACAAUGCAGUUUUCUUACCUUCUCCCUCCCUUCAGAAGAGCAAAAAAGAAAAACAUUGAAAGAAUAUGUUUGAAUUAAUAUACAAUUUUGAUUUAAAAAUAAUAGUUAUUUUAGCAAAUGAAUAAAAAUGAUCACGUACUGAACUUCCUCCUCGACGACUUCUUCUGUGUCAGACAUUUUGUUCGAGAUGAGCUGUGUAAAAUGGAUCCCCAUUAGCCUAUAUUUACUCUGGCAAAUGUUGCUGAUCAUCAAACAGCAUAGCAGAGCGUGACAUGGCAACAGUUCACACAGUUGACAAUGAGUGUCAGCACUUCACCAAAUAUCUGAUGCCGGUCACUGACGUGGCAACAGCUACCAAAUAAUGACUGGAAAAUACCUGAUACCUACAGGCAGUGGUCCAAAAUGUGUUUGUAUGCUUUCAGAAUCAAAAAUAAAGUUUGUCAUUUUGAUGGAAGUUCUCCUGUUAGUGUGUGAAAGAUUUGAUGCAGACUGUGAAAAAGUAUAAUUCUUUUAAAAAAUAAACUAAUAUCUAGCAUGUAAUCUCUAACCUGCACAGCAAGACUCUUAGUUCUUGUUGCUGUGAGGUAAUCUAUGCACAAUAAAAAGCAUGUUUUCUGUUGAGAUUUAGUUAAGACUGCAAAAUAACACAUAUUUAUGCACUUCAAAAAGCCUCAAACUUGCAGUGAAGUACAGGACUUGAGAAUAGAUUUAAUUGUUAUCCAUGUCUGGUUGUUACUUAAUUAUAUUUUUAAUGGUAUUUUAUAGAUUUUGUAGUGUAUUUAUAAUAUAUUAUAAUGCUAUAAUGAAAUAUUAUCAGUACAUAUAUCUACUUUAGGAAGCUGUAAGAACCUGUUUGUCCCUUAAUACUAGCACCACUAGUAAAAAGAAAUGAAUCUCAAAUCUUGAUUGAGUUGUUGUGGAAGCGAUUCAGUCACAUCUGAUUAAACAGCAUAAAAAUUGAAGCAGUAUUUAGGGAAACACUUCCCUUAGAUGUUGAAAGUGACUUUAAAAAAUAAUCUCUGUCAGUGAGCUCCAAAUCUAGAUGCUAAUAAAUGAAUUGAAAACUCAGGAAAUAUUUUUCAGACAGUAAUUCAGUUUUAAGAUUUACAGCUAAGCAAGACUUUAAUACAUUUUUUUAAAAUUUACCCACAUAAGAGUGUCCUUACCUGCAACCAAGACAGAGGGAGCUCAGAGACGAGCGACAGACUUCAGCCCCUUGAACUUCACCAACAGGUUGAGCAUCAAGGAUACAUAGACCAGCCCUUCUUACUCAUGUGACCGCAGCACCCUAUGGCUGACCAGUCUAUUGUUAGACAGCUGGACAUGAGAGCGCUGUCUCAGAAACACACACACAUUCUGCAGGUACAUUCCUGUCAUGGUAGAAUGUCAUAUAUUUGUUUGGGCUUUCACCAGUCACUCAGGUUUCAACACGCCAUAUAUUCACAGGUGCUUAGGAAGGACAGCAUUUCCUCACAGUGAGCAAAAAUAAAGCCAAAAGAACUCGAAUGAACUGUUUUUCUGUUUUUUAAUUUUUUUUUAUUGCUGAAGCCGUACAAACAAUAAUUUCAAACAGAUCAAACCACUACAACAAUAAUGAAAGACUCACAAUACAUUCUAGCAGGAAUCCACUCAAGUGCACUGCUGACAGACACACUGAAUUACAGGCUUUGAUAAAACAGACUGAAAAAUGCAAUUGAAAACCUUCACUGUUACUGCAAUGCAAAUAGAACUGAAAAAAUGAGUGGCUUGUAAAUGAGAGAUAGAUAAGGAAGAUGUCAGACUAACCCUAACCCUGCUUGUUGAAUAGAUUUGGUCACUGGAUAUUUGUUGCAGUAGAUAAUUGCAUGAACAAGUAUUAAUGGACUUUGAUGGUGUUUAUAUUACAAAAAAAAUGUGAUUUUUUUUUUUACUGAUACAAGGCCAGAAGGUAACAAACUCAGGUGUUUUUCACAGAAAUGUUGCACACUGUUGUUCUUUGGCUGCAGUCCUGAGCAGAAUGUGCCACUGAUAGUAUCUUCUGGUCUGAGGUUGACUCUUUAGUACCACCUUGUAAUACUACCCUCUUCAUAAAGGCUUUAUAAACUUAGCAACUAAUGGGACUCAUCUCUCAAUAAGACAUCAUGUCUGAAGCUAUAAAUGCUAAAACCCCAUUAAAGACUCAAUUAUCCACUCAGAUGUUAAAGUUAGUUAGAUGUUGAUAAAUGGACUUUGGCCAAAGCUUAUAAGGGGAUAAGUGUAUGUGUUUUGAGCUAAAUGCUAAUGUCAUGCAACACAGGACCACAGAUAUGGUGAUGUUUAGCAGAUAUGACAUUAACAUGUUUUCCAUUUUGGUUUAGCCUGUUGGUAUGCUGACAUUUCCUUUGCAAUAAGCUAAAGCAUCACAGGAAAAUCAUUAGCUAUGCAGGUUUUUGCAGUUCAACCAAAGUCUUAGACACAUUUAGAUAUUGACCUGGUGAUGACACUACAUGGAAGUCAUAGAAUAACUUAAAUUAUUUCUAAGUGUCUUGUGGUGAACGUAGAUACUUGUACAAACUUUCAUUGCAAUCCAUCCAGAAGAUGUUGACGUUUCCUUCUUGAAGUGAAAAACCAAUUGGUCUAUUCUGCUGUCCUCUGGCAACUUUAGUAUUGUGCUUAUUAUUUCAUCUAUCAUGCUAUAGUCGGUGAAUAAUUAAGCCUGAAGUCAUUGAGCACAAUGAUUCCUUAUUAAAAAGUGGUACCAAAAGUAUGAACACAGGCCAGAGGAGUUCCUUUACUCCAAAAGCUGUUCUCAUUGAUGGCUUCUAACUGAUCUAUAAAGCGAUAAUACAGGAUACAUUAACCACUGGAAUAGUUAUUUUUUAUUAUUUAUAAACCCUUUAUGAAGAGCUUCUUAGCAGAAAGUGGUACCACCUCAUGAAACAAAAUUAUGUACAUGCUUAUCACCCAGCGUAUUGCUGAGUGGUCGGAUACUUUCUACGGUCUCAAAACUGUGACUGUCAUCACAAAAAGCAGUGAGUAUAAGUAACCACAAAGCAAAAAUGCGUAUUACUUCGUAAAAGCUAUAUGGCAUUACCAUCAAAUACAUUAUAAGAACAACGAACAUGUUGGUGUGGGUUGAAAGCAAAGUAUCCAAAAAGACUCCGACUGGGUGUUCUUUGAAAAUCUUUGAGCCAAAAAUCAAGUGAAAGAUGCUAAAAGCACAUCAAUAUCUUUUCAUUUUUGAGGGACCAUCUCAAAGGUUGGCUAAUCUUAAGUCGGCAGUGGUGUAAAGUUACUCAUACUGUGAAGAUAAAGACCCUCCUCUUUUCCUUAUUCAGGUGUGAUCCUCAAGCGAAAUGCAGGUGUGGUGAAGUUGAACAGAUGCACAAACAGUAGCAGAGCCCUGUGUUUGCUCAGGUAGGACUUGAUUUAACAGGGAUGUCAACAGUUAGCGUCGGAUGCCUGCUAAUAGAGAAGAAACACAUUGAAGAUCUAUUAGCCAGUGUUGCAAUGUUAACAUCACUGUUCAAAGUGCAUAACUUAACAUAGUUUAUUAGGUGUUGAACAAGAUUAGUCCCAGGGCUGUUAAUCAAAGGUUUAAUGGCCGUACUUGUCAAUGUAUAUUCUGUCUAAUGUAUAUGCAUGUGUGUUUAUGGGUCUGUAGAUAUGAGCCACUGCUACUGUUGCUGACACAUAACCUGCAGUCAAAGUCAGGACAUUUCUCUUUGUGAUUGAAAGCUAUAACUUUGUCUUUGCCCUUUACUUCAUUCCUCAGCUGUCUAUUUCUGAUGAAGAAACUGAGAGGCGGCAAACAAGGAUCGCUAUUUAGGGUUGAAGCUGACACUCGACAAACGCUUUUCCAUUCCUAUUGUUCACACUCUGGCUCAAGCAGCGACGGCCUCAUGUCUGACGAAAUGUGACUUUUGAGCGCAAAGAAGGAGGGCAGCUUUACUGUGCCAACAUCACUCAAUGACAUGGCUUUUUUUUAUGAUUUAUGCUGUAAUUUCACACAUUUAAAGUGGCCCCCUGUUACUGUUGAGGUACAUGUUAGGUCUUUAUCCUCAGGCCUGAGUGAAUAAGCCUGGUGAUCGAGGCCGAUUUGUUGCUUAAAUGGUUAGUAAUCCUCCCCAGCACUCGGUUGUAAUGUGAAAAUCAAGCAGCUGCACUGUGGUAUGUCUAACAGCUCGCAGACACUGGCCAGUCCAGGUGGCACUGGGUGAACAGUGCACGGCACAAACACGACAGCCAUCCCAGGAGUCUGGAACUUACUUUAUACUGGGAGACAAGGUCAUGGUGAGGGGUUUUUAAAUAUAGACCUCAGUGCCACAGAGCUGAGCCCGUGCCCAAAAAUCUCCAGCAGCAGAUUUGAUUUACAGUGAGAAGCUACUCUGGCACAAAGGAAGGUUGGUGGGUUGUUGUAGUUAUGAGCCUCCAGUGUGCCAUAAAUCAGUCAAGUCCUCCCCCUCCUUGCCCAGAGAAUGGUUUGAAGGGCAGAUGCACUUCAUCUAAACUCUGCUUCCCCUAGGACUGAUCGACAUAAACCCCGGUUUAACAUGUAGUAUGCACACAUUUAGUGUUGGCGGAAGCGUUCAGACCCUUCACUUGAGUAAAAGUAGAUCUAACCACAAUAUAAUCGUCAGCAAAGUGUACUGGAUAUUUUGGGAAAUGUGCUUUGUCAUUUGCCCUUUGAAUCAUUCCUCAGCUGUCUGUUUCAGAUGUAAAUAAGACGUUAAAUGUGAAGCUACAAUCAGCAGCUGGUUGGGUUACAAGGGAGUCUGGUUGUCACCGUGAACUGGAUACUUCAGGAAGUCAGUGCACCUGGCCAAAAAAUAGUCCAACAUAUCACACUGGUGAGAACACAUGUUGUUGUUAUUGUACUUUGGUUUUCACACUGAUUAAACUAACAUGUAUUGUGUUAGUUAAAGAGCUUUGGAGGUGCUGGUAGGUGUAGUUUGUUACACCUACUAGGCAAGUUCUUUCCCUCUGGUCUUUACGUUAAGCUACGCUAAUUAGCAGCUGGCUGUAGCACCACAUUAACCAGCCUACAUGAGAGCUUGUUUAUUGAAAGACUUGUCCUCUAACCCAUGGCAAGAAAUGAUUAUUCUUUUGAAGAAUCAAUAGAAAAUGAUAAUUAUGCACCAGAAAGGCUGCUUUCAGCAUCAUGCUAUUCUAUAUUAUGCUAUUGUACCACUAUUUCUGAUGCAUUGAUAUGUACGACGCCACAUUUUGAUGUUGUAGCUGAUCAAGGUUUGCACUUCUGCCACUAAGUCCAUCAUCAUUUUGUAUAUAAUAAUACAAAAAAUAUAAUAGCUCAGAAUAGUAUUUAAGUACAGUAUUUCAGUAAUUGUACUUAUAGUCACAUCCAGCCACUGUGUACAGUCACCUCAGAAACUUACCAUUAGUGACAAACUUGCUUCCAAUUGCCACCUGUAAACAAGAAGAAAUGAAUGAGAGAAUGAUUGAAAGAUGAUGGAAAAACUAAUGAAAACAGCUGAUGAUGCUGAAGCAAAACCUGCUCUUAUUUUAGAAAUAAUUCCUAGUCUGGAUGUGUGUUCUGGUGGAUGAAUAUCUUCUGCUUCAUGUAAAUUAAUGUUGAUCCUAAUAAAGAAACUCAUAUAAAAAUUAUUGUCUCAACUCUGAAUAGGUUGUCAGUGAAGGAGAGUGGGAGUGAAAAUGAUGGAGUGUUUUAUUGGUUAAUAAUCUAAGUCUAAAUAUCAGGAACAUGUUUUUCUGCACCUGAAAGAUGGAUGUUUAGUAUUAUGUGGUGUUCCCACAGAUAUCAGAUAUGUUGUCUACUUACUGUUAAUGACUCUCUUAAAUAAUUGAGUGAAAUCAUACAUCAAAGAGUCCCUUCAAAGCAGUCUGAGCUAAAAAAAAAUACAUCAAACACAACACUGAAGCAUAAGCACAUGCACUCAACCAUGAUAUCUUCACUGUGCAACUACUGUCUUAGUAAGUAACUAAAAGCUGUACACCUUAAACGUCCUGUAAUAACAUGUAGCUCACAUCUCUGUAUAAUAAAAAAUAAUCCAUGUUUGAAAUGAACAACCACAUCAGAAAAGUGAUGGUUCAGAGCCAAGUUAUAGUAUUUAUGUCCUCAAAGUCAGUUCAGGAACUAAAGAUAGCAUAUAGUCAUUUUUAUUGGGUAUGUGUGGGAGGGUGGAAGAAUGACACAAUAGAAAGCCACAGUUAUUGCAACCAUCUCCUUCAUCACAUCAAAAUCAGUAUUUCCUUUUCAGUUCAUGCAGCUCAGUCAGAGGUUUGAGAUUGAAAAUAUAUCCUGCUUCUAACAUGACACAUACUGAUAAGUUAGGGACUGUAUGAAAAUUAUUUGGGUGAGGUGAGGUUCUGUUCCUUAUUCCCUUUAUAAAAAAUCAAUUUGUGUGCACCAAAACAUGAUAUGACAGCUGAAAACGCCAGGUUCUGAAAAUGCCCAGCUAGGGACAUUCCGAAGGUGAAGGACUUUUUAGCUGAGGUGCUUUGGUUGCUUUCUUUUCCAUUCAUCCUAUAUCUAUACACCGCUUUAUCCUCUCUCAAACCACUGCUCUAUGUGGGCUCUUGACAUUUUGUCUGGGAGGAAACAUCUUGCUAAGAAUCAUUGUUUGGGUUCAAGAGUUAAAGUCGGGCUGUUGGUCAGCAUUUGCAUUUGUAUUUCUUCCACUCAUAGUCCUUUGUGAUCAGACAGGGCUGGUGCUGCUUUUAGCACAGUGUAAAUAUGUGAUGUUCCCAUUGAAACCAAGCAGCAACCGACAGUUAAAACCAAUGUGUAACUGUCAAAAACUGCAGUUCCUCAAAUGGCCACUUGAGGCUGGCUUCAAAAGGGCAUCGAACCUCAUGUUAAAAUGUCUAACUUUACUGCAGAAAUAAACAUGUUUAAAGCAGGACUGGAUAUUUAUAUAACUCAUAUAACUAACUCAAGGCUUAAAGUCCUGCAUAGUUAAGGGCGUGGCUGCUGUAAGUGAUGGAUGAGUGUCAUCAUAGGACAGUCCAUGGCUCAAAGGCUUCUCUCAGCUGCAUUAAUCCUCCGCCUCGUUGCUCAUUGAGUUCAGAGGAGUCACACACUGCCAAGACGGGGAAGGCAGGAGUCACCACGCCGAGCUUCGAAAGUGCUAUCAAGGAAACCUGUUGGUGAUGUCACAGGUGGGAGGGGGUUUACAUCCUUAUAUACAGUCUAUGAUUCAUCCAAGAAAAAACACCCAAGGAAAAGCACAUAUCUCUCCCCCUAUACUAAGCCCCACACCACCCAUCCAUUCAUUAUCUAUACACCACUCAGCAGGAUAGCGGGGGGGCUGUGAUCUUCUAGCUGUGAGGCGACGGUGCUAACCACCAAACCACCGUGCAGCCGCCACACCACCCAAUACUUUUCAUAUAGUCCCUUACUAGAAAAUCAUGUAAAUAAUCAAAGAACAGAAUGAUGAUUUAGUGUGUAAACUGACUGAACUGAGAGAGGAACAACUCCAGUGAAACGCACACUGAGAGAGCAUAAAAUCAGUGCUUAAACAUCACAAAUCAACCACAUCAUGCCUGGUGAAACGUGCAUUCGGUGUUGUUCUCACAGAUCCACAAAUUACCUCCAUGAAUUCAUCCAUCUAUUUGAACUGAAUCAAACAAAAAAAGCGGGAUGGCGUCACAAGAAAUCUUUCAAAACAUACCAUUGCCCCAUGGCAUGUGAGGUGUGUGUGUUACCUUGCCAGGCGUAGAGGCCUUCUUGGUUUCCCACAUGCCACGCUUGCUACCGAUGUCACUUGGUUUCACAUCCUGAAACAAAUGAGACCCACAGCCCUGUUAGUCUCAGCCAGUGGUGGAAGAAGUAUUCAUAUUGUUUUAUUUAGGUAAAAGCACAGGCAUGCUGGUGUAAAAAUAAACAAUAAGUAAAAGGUUUAUUGUCAAAAUUGUAUUCAGCAGAAAUAAUAUUGAAGUAUUAUCAGGAAAUAUGAAAUAUCAAAACUUCUGUUCUGUCCUGCUAACACCUAAAAUGUGGCAAGGAACACCAAGUACACAUUUCUUUUAGAAAUGUGUUUGAGAACCACCAAAUUGUUAUAUUUCUAAUCACCUGUUUCUUGUUACGUUGAAGUAAAAAAGGUCAAUAUGUCAAUGAACUGUAGAAGAGUUGGAGUGUGAAGUAGCAUCAAAUGGAUAUAUGAGAAUAAAGCAUUGUUCUUGAGUACAUGUACCGAAUUAUUUUCCAUCACAGUUGUGGCAGUUAUAGUGAAAUACAUGCAAAGUGGUACCUUUACUAGUUUGAAGAGGAGACAAAGAACAGCAGGAAAAGUUUGCAUGUGGAUAGCUAAGAGAAAGAGUGUAAUUAAAGAGGACAGAAAGGCAGGAAAAAAAUGAAACAACAGAGUAAACAUAUGAAAGAAAAUACAGUGAUACUAAGGAUCACACAUGCACUCUAGACUGCUGUACAGCUUCAUCCCAUCAGGGGGAAGUGUUACUGCAAAAGUAACGGCAAGGUUGCAACUGCUACUUUGGCCAAGACGUUUGACACUAAAGAUAUCUCAUAGCUCAUAAAUUUUGCUUCAGAACAAUGUCACACGUCAUUCAGAAAUGCUACUGCAUGUGGAAAUAGUGUAAUGUCUCCAGACGACGCGGUAGGAUUAGCAGCUGGUGUCCUAAUUCAAGAAAAGGACACUCUGUCCGUCAAGUACACUUUAGAAAUGACCUAAUGUAUUUAUUAAUGUGAUAACGUGUGUCCAUGGAAUAAUAUAUAAUAUGAACCACUCAGUACACACUUGCUCAUUGGUUGUUGUGUCAGCGCUGCGAUGGUGGAUAAUAAUGGCCCUGUACGUGACAUAUGUGAAUGGAUGUGACCUUUUACCCUCCCUGAAGGAGACCAAAAACAUGGUCGACAGGUGAUGAGUCACAAAGACUAAAAUAUGAAGUCUAAAGUGAGUCAAACACUAAAGCUGAGAGUACUGCAGCAUUCAUGGGCUGUAAUAUAACAGUAAAAUACCUACAGAGGCCGAAGUGAUUGAUGUUUAGAGGGGCGUAGAAACGGCUCUGCAAGAAGGCAUGCUGGCAUGCAGCCACCUGACACAUAAAUGCAGCUCAGUGCUUUGUGGUUGGACUGUUGCCUUCGACAGUGAGAACUGAUAGCGUCCUCCUGUACAUUGAUUUUUCCACAGGUUUGGGAUCAAUUCAUAUAUUUUAAAACUUUGACUCAAUGUAAAGACUAAUACAGAGAAGGUUUGCGAGCUGUUUCUGCAGAUGCUGUAAAGCAAAGUGUCCACGUGGUGUCACUAGACUCCAGAAAGCAGCUGGUCCGGUCUUGGAGAUCAGAUCUAAAGUCUGCAGCCAACAAAAGACUGGCACGUCGAUGUGCAAAUGAGCACAUUAGCGUGCACAGAAUGUCAAGGGAUUACUCUGCUGAAGAACACUGGUGUCUAAUUUACAAUAGUGUGUGGGCGUGUGAUCAAGACAAGGAUUUAUCAGGCCUUACUGCUGGCUUUGCUGCUGCUGCUGGUGAUGCUGCUGCUGCUGCUGCUGCAGGUGUUGGUGCUGAUGUCUUCUCCACCUCUGCAGGCUUCGCCAUCCAACUGUUGACUCGUCCAGACACACCUCCUUUGAUUCCAGCCAAAUCCUGGAAGAAAAACACUUCAGAUUUUCAGUGUGACAACAGCAAACCUGUCCAUCCUUCCAUCUCUCUCUCCUCAUUCUGCCUCACCUUGUUUGGAGGAGCUGGACUUUCAGAGGGACUUCCGAUGUUUCCUUUCUCCCACAUGCUUUUGAUGCUACGUGUGCCUCCACUAGGAAUAUCUGCCAUCGGAGACUUUGGGGAUUUUACAUCUUUGUUUCCCUGUGGAAAGAAAAGAUGGAUGCAACCAUUUUUACAUGGGCAGACAGAGUAAAGCACUGAGUGAGGAUGAGUGGUGGAAAGUAACUUAGUAUAUUUACAUUUACUCAGGUACUGUACUUGAGUACAAUUAUGAGGUGCUUGAAUUUUAUUUAUUUAAAUUUUAUGCAGUUUUAUACUUUAUAUCCUCCUCUACAUUGCAAAGGCAAAUAUUGAAAACAAAAAUCUCUACUAAAUUUUAAGAUCUCGCAUUUAAAACUUUAAAACUUCUAAGUUUAUCAAAUAUAACACAUUAUUGGAGAUUUUCAUCAUUUACUGUCCAAAUAUGUUUUAAAAAUUAAAUGGUAUAUUUAUCAGAACUGCAGCUUUUCUUUUAUCCUGCUGCUCAGAUUUAUGUUAUGAUGCUGUGAAUGGAAACACUUAGCUAAACGACUAUAUAUGAAAUAAAGUUAACUUUGCCUUGACCAGAUACAACAACAAAGCUCUACUUAGUGUUUCGUUUAUUAGUCUAAUAUUGUCAUGUCUGACAAGUUAAACAUAUUAGUUACAUUUUGAAAAUGAGGACAUUUUGUUGUAAAUUUUGUUAUUUCUGUGAAAUUGGUAAUGUAUUCAAUCUGGACUUUUAUUUGACUGAAAAACAGUUUUUAUCUCAGAGCUGUCAUGUCAAUUAACUCUGGACAAACCACACUAUUAACACAAUCAUAUCCAGCGGUAACAGCUAUCUUGUCAGGGCUCCCUCCUCUGUCCCAGCUUCAGCCUCCACCUGACCUUCCUCAUCCUCCCUCUCCCUCUCCUUCCUCCUAUUCCUCUCUCCACCUUCCUGCUGCAGCUCAGCAGAGCUGCUCUGUCCAGCUGCUGUUCAUCACCAAUCACUCAUCAAUGGAACUCUGGGCAGCUGUGGUGCAGCUCACUUGAUGAUCAUCUCCACCAUAACAGCUGGCUGCACACUCCACACCCUGCCAGAUAGUAAACUCUGCUCACGCAGUCAGUUGUCUCGCCUUGCACUUUGCUAAAGUUCUCCAUUACAAAAAGCCUUGCUUGACUAGCCCUGUUUUUCCUGUUUAGCUCCACUGACCCAGCUGCCCGGUUCCACCUGCUCACACCCCCCAUCCUCCCCUUUUAGUUCAGUUACUCCAGACAUCAGUUUUCCACCCUGUCCAGCACUCCCUUAGCCUCUGUUUAAAAAAAUAAAAUCCACCUUUGUUCUUGCCUCA